AACAAAUUAAUUUGAAUGAUAAAAAUCUCAUAAACUUUUUUCUCUUCAUCCGGCAAUAGAACCACCGGUGUUAACUUCAGUGAUCCUACUCAAUCAACACUUUGGCUUCCAAGACUUGAAUCAAAUUUGGUCCAAUGACCGUUCCACACAAUGUACAAAGUCCAACCUUAUCUCUCACUCACUAAUUCACUCAAUUUUUGACAGGGUAUUCACUCCAUCAACAUGCAAAUGCUAUUUUACCAUAAGCUUGAAAAAAUUCUGAACGUCAAUCAAAGUAAAUACAUCGCACACAUUUUUGAGGUCUUGAGGGUUAUAACUUGGCUUAGGUAAAUGGUGGGAUAAUUUUGGGAAAAGCAGGCUAAAUUGGAGUUAGGUAUCCACUACUAUUCCUUGUUGAAAAAUUACCAUUAUUGGGACUCAAUUCAUCGUUAAUUAGGUACUUAGAGAACUUAUCCUUCAAUUUUUUUUCUUUCUUUUUGAAGAUGCN
Molecule: long non-coding RNA, 487 nt
Filed under: Trifolium pratense (red clover)
Lineage: Eukaryota; Viridiplantae; Streptophyta; Magnoliopsida; Fabales; Fabaceae
Description: long non-coding RNA (TPRA_LNC007447)
Source: RNAcentral